This 22-nucleotide unclassified non-coding RNA is filed under the name Chlamydomonas reinhardtii. RNAcentral describes it as "small RNA Cre_3265". The record is from RNAcentral. Lineage: Eukaryota; Viridiplantae; Chlorophyta; Chlorophyceae; Chlamydomonadales; Chlamydomonadaceae.
UGGAGGUGAGCUUGCUGGAAUC